Long non-coding RNA from Nomia melanderi (Alkali bee), 621 nucleotides. RefSeq lists it as uncharacterized. The record is from RefSeq and is a predicted model, not a curated record. Lineage: Eukaryota; Metazoa; Arthropoda; Insecta; Hymenoptera; Halictidae.
UAAUGAAAUAACUGAAAGAGAAAGUGCUUUUGAGAUUGGCUGCCUUAUUAAUUAUUUUAUUCAGUUAUUUUACCAUUUGAGCUGACGCGUCCAUCAGAAGACCCAUCAAGAGCAACGCAAGUAAAAGGAGAUGCAAUUUUGUCCCCAUCUUGAUCUCUGCACAUACAAACAAUUAAUUAAUAAAUAUUAUAAGGAUAAAAAGAAGAAAGAGAAUCAAUUUAUAAAAGCAACGAGAGUGGUGCAUUUCUUUGCGUUCUUCUUUGUUCCUGGGUGCAGUUUGUCGCAAGACAAGCACUUACCACAAUUGUAAAGAAGAAAUUCGUUAAACAAUAACAAGUCUAAAACAUACUGAUACAUUUCUUUAGAUAGUAACAUAUCUGAAAAUUUGAAAAGUGGACAAGACUACGUCACUGACAGUUUAGAAACGGAUUCAACGGAAUCAAAGUGAAGUUAAGCAUCAUAUUAUGUACUUAAUGUGGCCUCAAUUACAGUCAUACUUGACAAAUUUCCAUAAUAGAUUUAUCUAAAAUGCAAGCCUCGUUCGACAAGAUUUUAUUUUAUAUUUUCGAUUCACUUUAGCCUGAAGAAUCGCCACUCCCCUCGCCCCUCGUUUUAUUAUGC